GGCCGUUGCGCUUUACCUGUGUGGUAGCGCGUUCGACUCCAGAUCGAAAGGUUGGGCGUUCGAUCCGCUCAGUGGUCA
Caenorhabditis brenneri is the source of this 78-nucleotide non-coding RNA. Lineage: Eukaryota; Metazoa; Nematoda; Chromadorea; Rhabditida; Rhabditidae. The record is from the annotation of a GenBank genome assembly.